RNAcentral lists this ribosomal RNA (428 nucleotides) under uncultured prokaryote. RNAcentral's name for it is "bacterial SSU rRNA". It matches the Rfam family "Bacterial small subunit ribosomal RNA", at positions 355 to 774 of the family's 1533-position model. The record is from RNAcentral.
UGAGGAAUAUUGCGCAAUGGGGGAAACCCUGACGCAGCGACGCCGCGUGGGUGAAGAAGGCCUUCGGGUUGUAAAGCCCUGUCAGGUGGGAAGAAGCCUCUGGAGGUGAAUAGCCUUCGGAAUUGACGGUACCACCAAAGGAAGCACCGGCUAACUCCGUGCCAGCAGCCGCGGUAAGACGGAGGGUGCAAGCGUUGCUCGGAAUCACUGGGCGUAAAGCGCGUGUAGGCGGUUCGGUAAGUCGAGUGUGAAAGCCCGGGGCUCAACCUCGGAAGUGCACUCGAAACUGUCGAACUUGAGUACGGGAGAGGGAAGUGGAAUUCCUGGUGUAGAGGUGAAAUUCGUAGAUAUCAGGAGGAACACCGGUGGCGAAGGCGGCUUCCUGGACCGAUACUGACGCUGAGACGCGAAAGCGUGGGGAGCAAACA